RNAcentral lists this ribosomal RNA (496 nucleotides) under uncultured bacterium. Its description in RNAcentral is "bacterial SSU rRNA". It matches the Rfam family "Bacterial small subunit ribosomal RNA", at positions 30 to 504 of the family's 1533-position model. The record is from RNAcentral.
CGAACGCUGGCGGCGUGCCUAACACAUGCAAGUCGAGCGAGAACGCCUCCUUCGGGAGGUUAGUAAAGCGGCGAACGGGUGAGUAACACGUGAGCGAUCUACCCGACGGCGGGGGAUAACCCAGGGAAACCUGAGCUAAUACCGCAUACAGCACCGGCUUGGAAGCCGGAUGUGAAAGCUGGCCUCUCGAAGAAGCUGGCACCAUCGGAUGAGCUCGCGGCCUAUCAGCUAGUUGGUGGGGUAACGGCCUACCAAGGCGAUGACGGGUAGCUGGCGUGAGAGCGUGGCCAGCCACACUGGGACUGAGACACGGCCCAGACUCCUACGGGAGGCAGCAGUGGGGAAUAUUGCGCAAUGGGCGAAAGCCUGACGCAGCGACGCCGCGUGGGGGAGGAAGGCCUCAGGGUCGUAAACCCCUGUCAGGUGGGACGAACCACUGAUCGGUCAAUACCCGGUCAGUCUGACGGUACCACCAGAGGAAGCUCCGGCUAACUCC